CCAGCCGCCGCGGUAAUACGGAGGAUGCAAGCGUUAUCCGGAAUGAUUGGGCGUAAAGCGUCCGCAGGUGGUUUAUCAAGUUUGCGGUUAAAGGUUCUGGCUCAACCAGAGACAGGCCGUGAAAACUGAUAGACUAGAGUAUGGUAGGGGCAGAGGGAAUUCCCAGUGUAGCGGUGAAAUGCGUAGAGAUUGGGAAGAACACCGGUGGCNAAAGCGCUCUGCUAGGCCAAAACUGACACUGAGGGACGAAAGCUAGGGGAGCGAAUGGGAUUAGAUACCCCAGUAGUCCUAGCCGUAAACGAUGGAUACUAGGUGUAGCUUGUAUCGACCCAAGCUGUGCCGUAGCUAACGCGUUAAGUAUCCCGCCUGGGGAGUACGCGCGCAAGCGUGAAACUCAAAGGAAUUGACGGGGGCCCGCACAAGCGGUGGAGUAUGUGGUUUAAUUCGAUGCAACGCGAAGAACCUUACCAGGACUUGACAUGUCGCGAAUCUUACUGAAAGGUAGGAGUGCCUUAGGGAGCGCGAACACAGGUGGUGCAUGGCUGUCGUCAGCCCGUGUCGUGAGAUGUUGGGUUAAGUCCCGCAACGAGCGCAACCCUCGUUUUUAGUUGCCAUCAUUAAGUUGGGCACUCUAGAGAGACUGCCGGUGACAAACCGGAGGAAGGUGGGGAUGACGUCAAGUCAGCAUGCCCCUUACGUUCUGGGCUACACACGUACUACAAUGCUACGGACAAAGGGUAGCAAGCAUGCGAAUGCAAGCCAAUCCCAUAAACCGUGGCUCAGUUCAGAUUGCAGGCUGCAACUCGCCUGCAUGAAGGCGGAAUCGCUAGUAAUCGCAGGUCAGCACUACUGCGGUGAAUACGUUCCCGGGCCUUGUACACACCGCCCGUCACACCAUGGAAGCUGGCUUAGCCCGAAGUCGUUACCCUAACCGUAAGGAGGGGGAUGCCGAAGGCAGGGCUGGUGACUGGGGUGAAGUCGUAACAAGGUAACCAAG
Molecule: ribosomal RNA, 997 nt
Filed under: uncultured cyanobacterium
Lineage: Bacteria; Bacillati; Cyanobacteriota
Description: bacterial SSU rRNA
Rfam family: Bacterial small subunit ribosomal RNA
Source: RNAcentral